CAAGUUACUUGUUACCAAUGUGAAGUCAUAAAUUUUUAUUUCAUUCAUUUUAUUUACAUCUUAUUUAUUAUGUUACCCUUUUUGAUACUUUAAAUGCAAAUAUAUUUAAAUAUUUACAUUUCAAUGGCUCAUCUAGGGACCCUGGCCUCAGAGCCAUCAUCUCGGAUCCUCACGGUGUUAAUCCUUCCCAGAGAAACGCAGGAAGUGAGUUCCUUCUCGCUACGGAGGGGAGAUCUGUGCAGACUUAGAGAAGUCGCACAGAUCAAUUAACGGGAACCUUCCUUACUCAGCUGUGGCCCUGUGGCAUUGGCACAUUGCCCCAGCCUGGAGGUGUGGAGGAAGUGAGUAGGAGAUUGCUGGCUCCCUGGACACUGGCCUGCGUCACCCGAGGCCACACACCACAGGGGGAGGGCUGCUGUCCCCGUCAGUCAGGUCCGGAAAUAGAUCUGAGAAAGGACAGUCAGAACCCGACCCUGCACGGUUCCCAAGGUGAAACAGCGCGCUGCGUGAUACUCCAGGACACGGGCGUGCCUUUUCGUAUUCCCCCACGGAAUCUGAGAAAGGAUCAUGAAAGCUGCAAAAACGUGCACUUUCGUACUCCGCAGGAGGGGCCGAGGACUAACGCCGACCAGGAAUUUACGAUGACCUCAGUGGGAGCCGCUUGUCUAGCGCACCCGUUGGUAACUGGGAGACCCUCCUUCCUUUUGAGAACUCUUGUGACACCUUACCUAUUAUUUUUAGCUUUGCCAAGAAGAGGAGUACGAUUAAGGGAUGUGGCCAGAAGGAAGAAAUAAAAUUUUACUUCCAGGA
Lutra lutra (Eurasian river otter) is the source of this 810-nucleotide long non-coding RNA. RefSeq lists it as uncharacterized. The record is from RefSeq and is a predicted model, not a curated record. Lineage: Eukaryota; Metazoa; Chordata; Mammalia; Carnivora; Mustelidae. The transcript is spliced from 2 exons.